GAAAGUAGGUUUUCUCUCCUUUCCCGAUUCCUCUUUUUCUCUUUCUGUUAAGAGAUUCAUUUGAAACUUUGACAAUUCAUCUGCAGGCUUCGAUCAUUUGCUCGACAUAUUCUUGAGUAAUCAGAACGAGAUCGUAUUACAAGCAACAAAAUGAAUUUAGAUAUAGUGCUUAAGUUCCCACAUGAAGAGGUCACAUUAUGCGUAUGCCGAUACUCACCAAAGGCUGCAUUUACUGACCUAAAAAAGUGUCAGGGAGACAAAUGUGAUUCCUGGCUCCACAAAACGUGUUAUCCACGCAACUACUGCCCAUAUUGUUAUCUCGACAUGAUGGAUGGUCCAUUUUGCGAGCACACUGAAGCUCUACUACCACCAACUGUACUUACUAAAUCCGAUGGAAAAGAUAUAGGUAGAGGCACAUUUGCAAUAAGACCAGUUCAUGAUUUACGUCUGAAAGAGAACGCGCAUCAAGUCCAACUAUGGUGCAUGAACCUACGUGACAAUGCAGCUUCUGGCGUCCAGUGGCCUACAGAGUGCACGUUGACAGUUAACAAUUGCAGUUUGCCGAUAAGUCCAACAGGAUCUGCAAGCAGUCAUGGUGAUUGUAUUUCAAAUAGCAAAAUGAAAGGUGAUAACACUGUUAUCUUGAUGGGAAAUCUGCAAAGGAUCAUGACUACUUUUUUGGAGUGAGCUUGGUCAAAGUACAAUCACUCGAACAGGUCUUGGAAAAAAUUGUUGUCGAACCUUUGGAAGUGGCUGUAAACCAUAGUGUUCCGGUACCUGGUGUGGAAAUGCUAACAGCUAAAGUCAGCUUAACCUGUCCAUUUAAUCAUUCCAGAAUUACACACCCAGCGAGGUUCAAACAGUGCGGACACUUGCUUGACUUAAUAAAGUUUCUGCAAUACGCGCAAGCAUCUAAGAAGCUAGUGAAGUGGGAAUGCCCAGUUUGCAGAAAGAGAUACUCAUUUACAGAUCUGAUAUCUGAUGGCUAUUUAAUGCCAAUUCUUGCUGCAUUACCCGAAGAAGUGAAUGAAAUCGAAGUCCAACACGAUGCUUCUUGGAGGUUAAUCGGAAGGACUACUUGGAAUAAGCCUGGGCCUCCUUAUGUUAUUGACCAGUAGGAGGUGGGAGGAGAAGAUGGAGUGGUGCAUAUCCCUUCUGAUGAAGAGACUCAAGGUGUUGCAUCUGCUUCCGUGGCACCUGCUUACACGGCAUCUACUUCAGAAACUAAAGAUGUUAAUCCACUUGAUGAUAGCUUGAAGGUUUUGGAAAGUCAAUAUGUUGCAUCUACCGGAGGAGGUGGAGUGGUGCAUGUCUCGUCUGCUGAAGAGAUUCGAGAUGUUGCAGCUGCUUCUGUGGCAUCGGCUUCCGUGGGAUCUACGUCUGAAACUAGAGAUGUAAGACCACCUGAUGAUUCCUUGAAGCUGCUGGGAAGACAGUAUGGAGGAGAUUCGGAUUCUGACUGAGAAACGGAGCUUGCACAGCACUAUGGGUACCAGAAGGCAAUUUCAGAGAAAUGACCUUCCACUGUGAUGCAUCUAUGUAGAAAGUUUAUAUUUUAGCAGCUGAACACUAAGGAUAUCUCUCUCUUUCAUACUCCUCGUUUUCACUAAUCACAUGUAUAUGUUCCUUUUCUUCUGUGAUUGAACGGGUUAUUAGUAGUAACCCAUCUUCUUCUGUGACUGAACGGGUUAUUAGUAGUAACCCAUAUAUGUUUUUUUCGAAUUAUAUAUAGCCUUAUAUGCCAA
Long non-coding RNA from Papaver somniferum (opium poppy), 1745 nucleotides. RefSeq lists it as uncharacterized. The transcript has 9 exons. Lineage: Eukaryota; Viridiplantae; Streptophyta; Magnoliopsida; Ranunculales; Papaveraceae. The record is from RefSeq and is a predicted model, not a curated record.